CCUACGAGAGGCAGCAGUGAGGAAUAUUGGUCAAUGGGCGCAAGCCUGAACCAGCCAAGUCGCGUGAGGGAAGACGGCCCUACGGGUUGUAAACCUCUUUUGCCGGGGAGCAAGCCUGAGCACGUGUGCCCAGGCGGAGAGUACCCGGAGAAAAAGCAUCGGCUAACUCCGUGCCAGCAGCCGCGGUAAUACGGAGGAUGCGAGCGUUAUCCGGAUUUAUUGGGUUUAAAGGGUGCGGAGGCGGGCUGUUAAGCCGGCGGGAAAAUUUCGGGGCUCAACCCUGUCGAGCCGUCGAAACUGGCAGCCUUGAGUGAGCGAGAAGUAUGCGGAAUGCGUGGUGUAGCGGUGAAAUGCAUAGAUAUCACGCAGAACGCCGAUUGCGAAGGCAGCAUACCGGCGCCCGACUGACGCUGAGGCACGAAAGCGUGGGGAUCGAACAGGAUUAGAUACCCGAGUAGUC
RNAcentral lists this ribosomal RNA (460 nucleotides) under uncultured bacterium. RNAcentral describes it as "partial 16S ribosomal RNA". It matches the Rfam family "Bacterial small subunit ribosomal RNA", at positions 338 to 795 of the family's 1533-position model. The record is from RNAcentral.